AAAAUCAUAUGGAGUGCAACGUCACACACAGCCCCUGCCUCAAAGAGCUUACAACCUAGAGUCAAGCCAGGCAAAGCAAGCAGUGUUAUCCUCAUUUUAAAAGGUGGGGAACUGAGGAACAGAAAGAUUCAUGACUUGCCCAGGGUCUCUCAGGAAGUCUGUGGCAGAGCUAGGAACUGAGCUCAGAUCUCCUGAGUCCCGGUCCAGUGCCUUAUCCACCAGGCCAGCCAUCCACGCUGGAAUGAAUAAGUAAGAGGAACUGCCUGGGAGGAGCUAAAAAAAGUUCUAAUAAUUUACAGGUUCUGAUAGUUUUACCAGACAAAACUCUGUCCCCCCCAACCCCCUUCACUUUUGACUACUACUCUCAACACUAAAAUGACGAUAUAAGCCAGAGAACAGGAGGCCCAGAUAUACUAAAGGGAGUAAAAUCCCUAAGUACAUUGUAGGAGUUAAACCAAGUCUCACUCUGCUGAGCUGGAGAUGGCGGUGAGGCGAGUACCUUCCCCCUGAGGUCUGAACUCCCGAAACAAGCAACUUUACUCUCUUGGUAACAGUGAAGGGAUUCAGGUUGAAGUUUCUGCAAGUAACACUGGCUCUCUCUGUUUUUAUCUGCAGCCAUCCAUACCUCCACCUCCACUGGAAGGCCCCCAGUGACAACAGAGCAGCCCAGCGGGGCUGCUUCCACAUCCAUUACCCUCUCUAUAAGCAGCAACGACACUCAUGGACUAUCCCAGCUCAGCAACGUCCAUUUCUUGCUCCUGGUCAUCUGGAAAGUCCCCAUCUUUCUUUGCAUCAUCUGGGUGAACAUACGGUACAGGAAGAACUCCAGGGAGAUGCCAGACAGACCUGCUCCUUCCUAGUUUAGGAAUGGAUCAGAACCAGCAGAAGAAAGAUUGAGCUCCCAGCUCUGCACAGCAGCUACUCCCACCUAGAGCCCACGUGGAUCUGUGUAAAUGAAAUCCUGUAACAGUCAGCCCGGCUGAAGGGUUCAGUGGAUCCAGAGCCUACUCCAGAGUGAGGAGAAAGGAGGGGAUGAGCCCCAAGGGGCACAGUUCCCCAUCAUGAACAUAGAGGAAAUAUAAGGUAUCAGAGCCUGAGAGCUGGAAGAAGAGACUCAUCCCCUUCCCAUAGUUUGAUUUUGGCUCUUUGCAGCUGGAUUGCACUUUCUACAGCUCCUUUUCCGUCAUUCAUCUUCACCCCUCCGGUCUCUUCUACAGCAAGCUCCUGGGAAUGACUCAAACAUAAUCACAGACAUGCACACAGAGAGCUUAGCCUCAGAUUGUAUGUCGAAAGUGGUCAUCUCACUUACUGCUAACCUGUAACACACGGCACCAAUGAAAUGUGUUUUGCAAUAAAGCUUUUUCCUCGUGUUCUGCAGAGCGGCUCUCCUGGAGACAUCUGUCUGGCUCUCUGCCCCUCUGGCAGGCAGGUAUCUGAAUCCUUAGCACUUACUGGUGUCAGAGAGAAAAAUCCCUGCUGGAAGCUGCAUGAGUGUGACAGGAGAGUCCUACUGAGAAGAACAAGUGAGAAAGAGCUGCCCGUGGGAGAGAGGGUGGGAACAAAAAGCCAAAGUCACAGCAGGCGUAAGCCACUGUGGCUCCAAUGCAGAGGUGAAAGUAAGCUGG
This is a non-coding RNA of Chrysemys picta bellii (western painted turtle), 1625 nucleotides long. Lineage: Eukaryota; Metazoa; Chordata; Testudines; Emydidae. The record is from RefSeq and is a predicted model, not a curated record.